GUGCUUGUGGUGUAGUGGUCAUCACAUCCGCCUCACACGCGGAAGGUCCCAGGUUCAAUCCCUGGCAAGCACA
Molecule: transfer RNA, 73 nt
Filed under: Limulus polyphemus (Atlantic horseshoe crab)
Lineage: Eukaryota; Metazoa; Arthropoda; Merostomata; Xiphosura; Limulidae
Description: tRNA-Val
Rfam family: tRNA
About the family: Transfer RNA (tRNA) molecules are approximately 80 nucleotides in length.
Source: RNAcentral